UGGGGAAUUUUGGACAAUGGGCGCAAGCCUGAUCCAGCCAUGCCGCGUGUCUGAAGAAGGCCUUCGGGCUGUAAAGGACUUUUGUCAGGGAAGAAAAGGCUGUCGCUAAUACCGACAGUUGAUGACGGUACCUGAAGAAUAAGCACCGGCUAACUACGUGCCAGCAGCCGCGGUAAUACGUAGGGUGCGAGCGUUAAUCGGAAUUACUGGGCGUAAAGCGAGCGCAGACGGUUACUUAAGCAGGAUGUGAAAUCCCCGGGCUCAACCUGGGAACUGCGUUCUGAACUGGGUGACUAGAGUGUGUCAGAGGGAGGUAGAAUUCCACGUGUAGCAGUGAAAUGCGUAGAGAUGUGGAGGAAUACCGAUGGCGAAGGCAGCCUCCUGGGAUAACACUGACGUUCAUGCUCGAAAGCGUGGGUAGCAAACAGGAUUAGAUACCCUGGUAGUCCACGCCCUAAACGAUGUCAAUUAGCUGUUGGGCAACUUGAUUGCUUAGUAGCGUAGCUAACGCGUGAAAUUGACCGCCUGGGGAGUACGGUCGCAAGAUUA
Molecule: ribosomal RNA, 549 nt
Filed under: uncultured bacterium
Lineage: Bacteria
Description: bacterial SSU rRNA
Rfam family: Bacterial small subunit ribosomal RNA
Source: RNAcentral